AAAGUUCCCUUCGGGGAGCUAGUAGAGUGGCGCACGGGUGAGUAACACGUAGGUAAUCUACCUUCGGAUGGGGAAUAACACCGAGAAAUCGGUGCUAAUACCGCAUAAUGCAGCGGCACCUAAUGGUGACAGUUGUUAAAGCGGGGGAUUGAAAGACCUCGCGUCUGAAGAGGAGCCUGCGGCAGAUUAGCUAGUUGGUAAGGUAACGGCUUGCCAAGGCGAUGAUCUGUAGCCGGCCUGAGAGGGCGGUCGGCCACACUGACACUGACAUACGGGUCAGACUCCUACGGGAGGCAGCAGUCGGGAAUUUUGGGCAAUGGGCGAAAGCCUGACCCAGCAACGCCGCGUGAAGGAUGAAAUCCCUCGGGAUGUAAACUUCGCAAGAACAGGAAGAAUAAGUGAGAGUUAACACCUCUUACGAUGACGGUACUGUUUGUAAGCUCCGGCUAACUCCGUGCCAGCAGCCGCGGUAAUACGGGGGGAGCAAGCGUUGUUCGGAUUUACUGGGCGUAAAGGGCGCGUAGGCGGCCACCGCAAGUCGAUUGUGAAAUCUCCGGGCUUAACUCGGAAAGGUCAACCGAUACUGCGGGGCUAGAGUGCAGAAGGGGCAACUGGAAUUCUCGGUGUAGCGGUGAAAUGCGUAGAUAUCGAGAGGAACACCUGCGGCGAAGGCGGGUUGCUGGGCUGACACUGACGCUGAUGUGCGAAAGCUAGGGGAGCGAACGGGAUUAGAUACCCCGGUAGUCAUAGCCUUAAACGAUGAAUGCUUGGUGUCUGGGGUUUUAUAGUCCCCGGGUGCCGUCGCUAACGCUUUAAGCAUU
Molecule: ribosomal RNA, 821 nt
Filed under: uncultured Bacillota bacterium
Lineage: Bacteria; Bacillati; Bacillota
Description: bacterial SSU rRNA
Rfam family: Bacterial small subunit ribosomal RNA
Source: RNAcentral